GACGAACGCUGGCGGCGUGCUUAACACAUGCAAGUCGAACGGAAAGGCCCUGCUUUUGUGGGGUGCUCGAGUGGCGAACGGGUGAGUAACACGAGAGUAACCUGCCCUUGACUUUGGGAUAACUUCAGGAAACUGGGGCGAAUAUCGGAUAGGAGCUCCUGCUGCAUGGUGGGGGUUGGAAAGGUUCGGCGGUUGGGGAUGGACUCGCGGCUCAUCAGCUCGUUGGUGGGGUAGUGGCUUACCAAGGCUUUGACGGGUAGCCGGCCUGAGAGGGUGACCGGCCACAUUGGGACUGCGAUACGGCCCAGACUCCUACGGGAGGCAGCAGUGGGGAAUAUUGCACAAUGGGCGGAAGCCUGAUGCAGCAACGCCGCGUGCGGGAUGACGGCCUUCGGGUUGUAAACCGCUUUCGCCUGUGACGAAGCGUGAGUGACGGUAAUGGGUAAAGAAGCACCGGCUAACUACGUG
Molecule: ribosomal RNA, 468 nt
Filed under: uncultured bacterium
Lineage: Bacteria
Description: partial 16S ribosomal RNA
Rfam family: Bacterial small subunit ribosomal RNA
Source: RNAcentral